UCCACUACAAUGCCUUGCCUCU
This 22-nucleotide microRNA is filed under the name Cavia porcellus (domestic guinea pig). Its description in RNAcentral is "cpo-miR-885-5p". Its record names the gene cpo-miR-885-5p. The record is from miRBase by way of RNAcentral. Lineage: Eukaryota; Metazoa; Chordata; Mammalia; Rodentia; Caviidae.